AAGAAGCAAGCACGUGAAAUUUUCCAGGAGAGUUUAAGGUCCAGAAAUGUAGAUGGUUACUAUUCUUGCUACUGGUUUGUUGCUCUGCCAGAGGUUACUGCCCUGUAGCAGGGGCACUGAAGCCAUCCGUCUGCCUGGCGACUGCCACAGUCCAUACAGUGUUGGAACAACUGCUGAAACUGAGGGCGGCACCUCCGGCUGCAGGAAGCAGCACAGCACAUCCCUCCCUGGCAGCAGAUGGUCUGGCCGGGUCCCUCACAGCUCUUUGGCCCUCUGUGAG
This 280-nucleotide long non-coding RNA is filed under the name Gallus gallus (chicken). Its description in RNAcentral is "lncRNA (ENSGALG00010011750.1)". Lineage: Eukaryota; Metazoa; Chordata; Aves; Galliformes; Phasianidae. The record is from RNAcentral.